CUACUUUGAGAUAGGUCAUGAGGCGGGUAAGUAUGUGAGAGCCACUACCGGAAAGACUGAUGGACAGGGACAAGGUGAAGGUUAUCACGCUUGAAUUUCUCAAAUAAUGCAGCCAUGGAGUUAUAGCGCACGCUGCAACAAACGUGGACACUGUUCCGGCGUAGGCCACCAUCGCAUGUCGAGUCGGGGACUUAAAGAUCACAUAAGGGUCCAUUUCUAGACCCAAAACGAAGGCAUAUGAAAUCAUGCCGAAGUCAACGAUGUUUUCCAAAGUAAUGCUGAAUAGGCUUGUGAAAGAAUCACGUGCAUGUGGUAAGCUUGCAAGAAUCAGCCCUAUCUGCAUGCAUUAGAAACACCAACGUAUAACUUAGCUUUAGUUAUUAUAUAUAAUCACAAACCAAUGCAAUGAAAUCAAUUUCAGGACAACAUGGGAAUUAGAUACAUACGACAAGAUCAGAAGUCAUGUAAGGUUGGGAGAAAGGCUUUAAAAGGUGGUGCACAACUCUGCUAAGAACAUAUGUUGCAAUAAGAGCAACCAUCUUCCCAGAAAAGCUUACACUGGCGGCAUCAAAUCUUAAAAAGCAUGGAUGGAAGGUGACGUUUGCGGAUGUGGUUACCGGCGGCAUCUUUGGCAAUUAAGUUAAAGGUGUCUUGUUGUUUUUUUUUUUCCUUAUUUCUUUUCUUGUUCGUGUUUCCAAAUCCAAAAUUUGAUACAAAUUAUUUAUUAGCUACAAAUCAAUCUCUUCUUUUUUGGGGGGGUGGGAUGUAAAAUUUGUCACAAUUUUCAUUGUGCUGGUGAAUCUUUAGCAGGAGGUGGAACGAGUGGAUGCAAAUUGUUGCAAUAUUACGAGGAGCAGAAAUGGAGGAGCAAGUCGAGGAGAUUGAAACAUGUGAGUGGUGAAUCUAGAUUCAUAUAUAUAAUAAUAUAUGAAUCCAAGACAAAUAGAAAAUUAUCAAAGACGGUACACGUACGAAUCCACUGGGUCUUUUUGGAGUCCUUUUUAUAUACAUAUAGACCAGGGUAUUCUCAUCAAUUUCUAGGAUUUAUUUUCUGAUUGUCUCCGAAUAUUUGAACAGUUCAACUAAGUCACUUUUCAGCACGAAUAUAAUAUAUCAUACCCAUAAUAAUAAAUUUAAUUUACAUAUUUUGUUAAUUUAG
This 1159-nucleotide long non-coding RNA is filed under the name Gossypium barbadense (sea-island cotton). RNAcentral describes it as "long non-coding RNA (GBAR_LNC006890)". The record is from RNAcentral. Lineage: Eukaryota; Viridiplantae; Streptophyta; Magnoliopsida; Malvales; Malvaceae.